RNAcentral lists this ribosomal RNA (253 nucleotides) under uncultured bacterium. RNAcentral describes it as "partial 16S ribosomal RNA". It matches the Rfam family "Bacterial small subunit ribosomal RNA", at positions 524 to 776 of the family's 1533-position model. The record is from RNAcentral.
GACGAACCGUCCAAACGUUAUUCGGAAUCACUGGGCUUAAAGGGUGCGUAGGCGGUCCUGUAAGUUGGGUGUGAAAUACCUCGGCCUAACCGAGGAAUGGCGCCCAAAACUGUAGGACUCGAGCAAGGCAGAGGUGAACGGAACUUAGGGUGGAGCGGUGAAAUGCGUUGAUAUCCUAAGGAACACCAGUAGCGAAAGCGGUUCACUGGGCCUUUUCUGACGCUGAUGCACGAAAGCCAGGGGAGCGAACGGG